Molecule: long non-coding RNA, 528 nt
Filed under: Elaeis guineensis (African oil palm)
Lineage: Eukaryota; Viridiplantae; Streptophyta; Magnoliopsida; Arecales; Arecaceae
Description: long non-coding RNA (EGUI_LNC004090)
Source: RNAcentral
ACAGACUUAAUGUACAAUAGAGCUCAACAUCUGGAGAGCUGUGACAAAAAAACAAAACAUGAAAACCCAUAAAGACUACACACAACGCACUCCUGGGAGAUGUAAUGCGGUCGGUGUCAAUUACCCAUGAGCUCAAGUUUACUAAAACUUACAAGUACCAUAAGAGAAAGGCUGCUAUAUAUAUGCUGCGCCAUCGUCAUAACCCUAGAUUGGAAGAAAACAAACCGAGUACCAAAACCACCCGUUACAUAAUGGAACUCUAGUUUGUCUUCCCACUUUCUUUACCAUCUCCUCUAACAUAUAUUUGUCAAAUAUAUAUUUUGCGCAACUUGAUUCACUUUGCUUUAACAGAAACAGUUAAUGUAUGUUAUAAUAACAGGGCCUCUAACACUUCCGUUUGCUAAAUAAAUAAAACAAGCAUCAAGUGGACCUUUAAUUUGUGGUAUUUUGAGGGUCCGAUGCAGCUAUAUUUUUAGAGGGGACGGACAGACUGGCCUUCUGUUUUAAACCUCCCAUCCCCUCCUCAAC